Molecule: RNase P RNA, 371 nt
Filed under: Fluviicola sp.
Lineage: Bacteria; Pseudomonadati; Bacteroidota; Flavobacteriia; Flavobacteriales; Crocinitomicaceae
Description: RNase P RNA component class A
Rfam family: Bacterial RNase P class A
About the family: Ribonuclease P (RNase P) is a ubiquitous endoribonuclease, found in archaea, bacteria and eukarya as well as chloroplasts and mitochondria. Its best characterised activity is the generation of mature 5'-ends of tRNAs by cleaving the 5'-leader elements of precursor-tRNAs. Cellular RNase Ps are ribonucleoproteins.
Source: RNAcentral
AAGGUAAACCAGUCUAUCGCUUUGCAUUGAUUGCAAAGAGGAAAGUCUGGGCAGCAAAGAGUACUGUGCUUCUUAACGGGAAGGCGCAUCCUAGGAUGUGACAGAAAGUGCCACAGAAAGGAAGACUACCAAAAACGCAAGUUGUUGGAAAAGGUGAAAAGGUGGGGUAAGAGCUCACCGGAUUGUUGGUGACAAUAAUCGCUUGGUAAACCUCACAGGCUGAAAAAUCAUGUAAACCUGGGCUUGAGAAUUGCUCGUUCGACUAGGUGGGUAGAUUGAUGGAUUCCGAGAGUGAUUUCGGAACUAGAUAAAUGAUAGACUAUGCAAUUUUUUUUGCAGACACAGGACCCGGCUUAAGGUUUGCCUUUCUU